UGCCAGACUCCUACGGGAGGCAGCAGUGGGGAAUAUUGCGCAAUGGGCGAAAGCCUGACGCAGCGACGCCGCGUGAGGGAUGAAGGUCUUCGGAUCGUAAACCUCUGUCAGGAGGGAAGAAGUGGUUAUAUGCGAAUAGUGUAUGACUUUGACGGUACCUCCAAAGGAAGCACCGGCUAACUCCGUGCCAGCAGCCGCGGUAAUACGGAGGGUGCGAGCGUUAAUCGGAAUCGCUGGGCGUAAAGCGCUCGUAGGCGGUAUGUCAAGUCAAGGGUGGAAUCCCCGCGCUCAACGUGGGAACUGCCUUUGAAACUGGCAAACUGGAGUGUGUGAGAGGAUAGUGGAAUUCCAGGUGUAGGAGUGAAAUCCGUAGAUAUCUGGAGGAACAUCAGUGGCGAAGGCGACUAUCUGGCACAUAACUGACGCUGAGGAGCGAAAGCGUGGGUAGCAAACAGGAUUAGAUACCCCGGUAC
RNAcentral lists this ribosomal RNA (473 nucleotides) under uncultured bacterium. Its description in RNAcentral is "bacterial SSU rRNA". It matches the Rfam family "Bacterial small subunit ribosomal RNA", at positions 329 to 793 of the family's 1533-position model. The record is from RNAcentral.